Molecule: transfer RNA, 75 nt
Filed under: Dysgonamonadaceae bacterium
Lineage: Bacteria; Pseudomonadati; Bacteroidota; Bacteroidia; Bacteroidales; Dysgonomonadaceae
Description: tRNA-Pro
Rfam family: tRNA
About the family: Transfer RNA (tRNA) molecules are approximately 80 nucleotides in length. Their secondary structure includes four short double-helical elements and three loops (D, anti-codon, and T loops). Further hydrogen bonds mediate the characteristic L-shaped molecular structure. tRNAs have two regions of fundamental functional importance: the anti-codon, which is responsible for specific mRNA codon recognition, and the 3' end, to which the tRNAs corresponding amino acid is attached (by aminoacyl-tRNA synthetases). tRNAs cope with the degeneracy of the genetic code in two manners: having more than one tRNA (with a specific anti-codon) for a particular amino acid; and 'wobble' base-pairing, i.e. permitting non-standard base-pairing at the 3rd anti-codon position.
Source: RNAcentral
CGGGGUGUAGCGCAGUCCGGUUAGCGCGCCUGCUUUGGGAGCAGGAAGUCGUGGGUUCGAAUCCCGCCUCCCCGA